AUUACCUUUCUUCAGAAAAACCCAUAAAUCGGAAAAUCCUGUUAGGUAGAAACAAAAUAUAUGAUGGCUUAUCUUUUCUGUUUAAUAAACAUUAUUUUCUCGAUUCACAGAACUUUCAUAAAAUCACCUCAAGGCCAUAUCAGAGCAAAAUAGUAUUUCUUAUGUUAACAAAUCUUGAACUAUAAACACUUUUUGUACUUUGUUUUAGCAUAUGUACAACCUAAGAAAGACAGCCAAUGCCCUGAUGGAUUCAUGCUGAGAUCAAACCUCUGUUAUCCAUGCCAACCAGGAUAUUUUAGAGGAA
Long non-coding RNA from Limulus polyphemus (Atlantic horseshoe crab), 304 nucleotides. RefSeq lists it as uncharacterized. The record is from RefSeq and is a predicted model, not a curated record. NCBI's taxonomy places the organism in Eukaryota, Metazoa, Arthropoda, Merostomata, Xiphosura, Limulidae. The transcript has 2 exons.